GGGGGGAGGCUGGAUCCUGGGCUGUGUCCCCGGCGCCCUGUGCUCCUGGGCCUGGGCUGUUGGAUUCGCGCUCCCGGCUGGGCAGCCCCCU
RNAcentral lists this microRNA precursor (91 nucleotides) under Canis lupus familiaris (dog). RNAcentral describes it as "mir-8799 microRNA precursor family". It matches the Rfam family "mir-8799 microRNA precursor family". The record is from Rfam by way of RNAcentral. RNAcentral also lists the same sequence under 1 other name. Lineage: Eukaryota; Metazoa; Chordata; Mammalia; Carnivora; Canidae.